CCCCUCUCUCCUCGUAAACUCCUCUCCAACAGAGAAAGGAAGCCCUUGUUCAUGAGAUAACGGCUCCCCUCUCUCCAGUCAGGAACUGAAGCAGAGGUUUCAUCAGCCUGGGAGAAAAACAGCCCCUUUGGUUCUCAGUGUGGCCAUCUCUCUUGGUGGGCAUGUAACUGGCCGCCAGGGUCCCGCAGAGCCUCCCGGAGUUGCUCUCCACGCCCCACACCUGCAGGAUGUGAGCUGUGGUCCCUAGCAUGGUGACUUGGUCCCAUGGAGUUGAAAGCAUUUCUUGUCAGAUCCGGCCCAAUCUCAAAGUUGGAGGCAACAGCGUGAAAGGUGCGUGACUAUGCUUGGUUCCU
RNAcentral lists this long non-coding RNA (353 nucleotides) under Homo sapiens (human). RNAcentral's name for it is "HSALNT0116821". The record is from RNAcentral. Lineage: Eukaryota; Metazoa; Chordata; Mammalia; Primates; Hominidae.